GGAGCCGGCGACGGCGGGCGCAGAGCGCGAGGGGAGGAGCGGCCGAGGGGAGGAUGUUCCCGGCGGCGGCGGCCGGGGCGGUGCGGGACGGAGGCGCGGCGCGGGGAGCCCUGGGCGGCCCGGCGGUGCGCGGCGGUGGGCGCGCGGCCAGCUGCGGGCUCUGCGCCGCCCCGCGGCCUCUGAGCGCGGGCCCCUGGCUUUGUGUGGCGCGCCGCCUUCGCGGGGACGGUCUGGGGGCUCCGGGUCGGCGAAGGGUGCGGGCACGACGCCGCAGGGCCCGGGCCCGGACACGACACUCGGCGGGGAAGGGUCGGACAAAAAAAGACCAAAUGGCAAAGCAACCUUCUGAUGUAAGUUCUGAGUGUGACAGAGAAGGUGGACAAUUACAGCCCACGGAGAGGCCUCCUCAGCUCAGGCCUGGGGCGCCCAGCUCUGUACAGAUAGAGCCACAAGGUAAUCCUGAAGGCGAAGGGGACCGCUGCCCGCACGGCAGCCCUCAGGGCCCGCUGGCCCCACCGGCCAGCCCUGGGCCUUUUGCUACCAGAUCCCCGCUUUUCAUCUUUGUGAGAAGAUCCUCCCUGCUGUCUCGAUCCUCCAGUGGGUAUUUCUCUUUUGACACAGACAGGAGCCCAGCACCCAUGAGUUGUGACAAAUCAACACAAACCCCGAGUCCUCCUUGCCAGGCCUUCAACCAUUAUCUCAAUGCAAUGGCCUCCAUGCGGCAGUCUCAGGCCCUCCCUGCAGACAUGCGACCGGAGAUGUGGAUCGCACAGGAGCUGCGGCGGAUCGGGGACGAGUUCAACGCCUACUACCCACGGAGGUGAGAGCGAUAGAGGAAGUUGUCACGUAGUUGUAGUGUGUUCGGGCCGCGUCAGGGCAGGGGGCAGCGGGCAGCAUGUGGCCCGGAGCUGUGGAGGCUGAGUCCCGGAAGCAGGAGUGGGAGAGGCACAGAAGAAGCCAAGUGAUUUUGAAAGUUAAAUCAAAACAAAGCCACCUGGGGUGUGACAGAUAAAAUCGGACUGUGGUUCGGGAGUCUGCGGGGCCUGCCGGCCGGCGUGCCAGCCAGCUUCCUCGUCUGCCUUAUUGCCGUCCUGCUCGGGCCCGGUGCACAGGGGCUGUGGAAACAGUCGCGAAGGGGACUGCCUGGCAGCUGCUGUGUGGAUGGCCUGGGUCUGAGACUGGACCCUCCUUACAGCCCCCAGAAGGUCACCCUUUGGGGAGUCUGAGACACACGUGGGCCGACUUCAUGAACGAUUACCAGGAAGCAGGAGGCCACCCCUACAUGGUGGUCUUACGACUGCUGCGUUACAUCCUCCGUCUGGUGUGGAGGAUGCAGUGACGACGGGUUCCCACGGAGCCAAGAUGUGUGCAGACAUUUCACUUGAUCGAGCGGACAAGCCCAGCGUCCGGCCUCCUGUCGCCAUUGCUCCGCGGUCAGCGGUGGUCCCAGAGCGGCCGGUGUGGCCUGACACCUGGGGCUGCGUGCGGACUUGACCUUAUGGGUUCCUCGCCCUGUGGCAGAGGCUCUAGUGUAGUUUGUUAUGAAUGUAAAUGAGAGAGUAUUUUCUUUUUAAAAACUGAUCAUGGUUCUUUGGAGCAGGAUUUUAUGCAAGAAUGGUGUAAGAACACGUUUUUAAAAAAGGAAAUGGGAAUUUUUAACCAACUUCAUAAAUGAAUUUUUACUAAAAAUUUAAGAACCUAUUAUGGAAACUCGUGUGGGAACUGAGCCAGCUGAUUUCUAAGGCUGCCUCAGUUUAUUUUUACAGGCUACUGUACAGGACUUUUAAACAUGAGAGGUGUGUAUGAUAUGGCCCCUCCCUCCCUGCCAUUGCCUCUCUCGCCUUCUUUUAAUCGUUUUUACCAAAAAGUUCUUAUGAGAUAGAACUGAUCAAAGGGGUAAAGGGCCUUUGAUCAGCCUGUGUUGAUAUGCCACUUCCACUGUGUAAAUAUUUUGACUUACCUCCUUAAAUGUAAUUGCAUCUGUGGCUUCUCUGUGUGUGCUCGUCUUCCCCUGCGAUGCUCCUCUGUCUGUCCUAGGUGCUGACGCACACAUUUGGUCCAGGGCAUCUUGAUGAUCGAGUGUAACUGGGCCAGAAUGUGACUUGGGAUCUGCCUGUGUCCGCAGCUCAGCCAGUCUUGGGGGAGCUUACUAACCAGGAAGUGCGUGGUACUGGUUUCCCCGUGGUUUGGUGGGCUGGCGUGGAAGUACAGGUGUCCUGAAGAGGGAGUGUGGUGGCAGCAGACACAGUAUCAGGGCCCUUGGCACUGUUGGCUUUUCCGGUUGCAGGUUUUCCCUCAGCACAAGGAGGCACUCUCAGCAUGAGGCCCUGGCUGGCUGGCAAGCCCACCUGCGGCUGAAUUGGGCCGCAAGAGUCCAGGCUGGAGUCCUCAUGGGAAUUGGCACAGGCCGUGGGCAGGGCUUUGGAUGGCUGCUUCCUGGCCAUCCUGGCUUUUCAUCCAAUUCCAAGCCGAUCUGGUCUUGGAUGCCCACCACUGGUUCCCACUCUUCUGUACCCACUCUGAAAUGCAGGCUUCCUUCCCCUCUGCAGCGCCAUUAAAACGCGAGGCACAGGCCUGCAGCGGUCCCUCCCACAGCUGUCUGACUGUUCUUUUCUCCUGGACGGCGGCUUUACCAGGCCUCCUGCUGCCCUGCUCCCUCCACCCCCACCCGUGAGGACUGCAGCGAGGCACCCACGGGGGAUCAGUCAUUUCAAAGGCCAUUAAACAGCGGGGAGACCCGAGAGAGACCAGUUAGAGGGCAGGGAAGGAAGGUGCAGAUCAUUCUGUGAACCCACAACUCCUACAGUUUUUCAAACCUCAGAUCAUGAAAUAGUUUUUUUAAGAGAAAUAUAUGAUUUUUUCAAAUGAGUCAGCAGUGCCAACAGCUAUUGCAUUUUCUUUUGGCCCAUCAAGGACCAGCAUUUUCACAUAAUUAAAUUGCAAGGAGAAACUCAUUCAUUCAUGUGUCUCUUCAUCGUUUUGUGUAAAUAUAUAUGUAUACAUAUAUGUAUAUACGUGCGUGUAUAUAUAUUUUGCAUAUACGCUUUCUUUAUGUAGAAAUAUUUGAUCUCAGAUGUCUUCCUUUUUUAAAAAUUUCUUUUUUCCCAAAGCCUUUCUUAGGGUCUUGAAUAUUUUUAAAACUGUUGAGACUGAGCGUGUGUUCUCGGUAGGUCUGGAACCCCCUUGCUGGGGCACAAAGGCCACACCGCUGGAGGUGCUGGUGACAUUGCGGCCGUGGGCCUGCGGGACACACACACCAAAGACGUAUUUGGUUCUGGGCCCGUCCGCCCCCAGGAUCUCCGUACUCAUGUCCAGUCCCUCUGACUGGAGCACUUUACCUGCUUCUGGGAGCGCGGACGCAGCCCGGGCUGAGGGCCCGCUGCGCGCUCCUUUACCUCUGGCCUGGCAGCUGGCCGUGGCCACGCGUGAGGAAGUGAUUCCGGGACGUGUAGAAGUAUUAAGAACAGGAUGUUGCCCCAGGACCUGAGAGAUGGCUGGGUGUCUGUACUGUACGUGUCUGUGUAUCAAGAUGCUUCCUGCAGAAAGCAUACCUACGAUGGUAUGCCUUUUACUUUUAUAUUUUAUUAUCUUGUAGAAGAAAAAUAACUAGCUCCCAUUCUGAAAAUUUAUGAGAUGCGGGUUUUGUGCCUUGACCACCUCUUCUCAUGCGAGAUUUGUAGAAAGUGUCCUGUGAUGAUCACAGAAAUGCAAUAAAUUCCCCCCAGGAACUCCACGGUGAUUCUUCCAGUUUUACGUGUCGUCCAGCCUAGAAAUGAGUUUAUGAAGAAUUUGUUUUCAGUUGUGGAGAAACCAGGUAAAAAUUCCUUCUGAUUUAAAAAACAAAACAAAAAAAAUGUACUCAGUCAAACCGUCUCCUGUUUCCCCUUCUUAAUAUUGUACAUAUUUUGACUAUUUAUUAGAUUAGAUCCUAUUUUACUUACCAACUGAGCCAGAUGUCUGUGUGCAAUUGUCUCCUUCACCUUUCUUGUAAAAUUUUGUACAGCAUAAAUGAGAAAAGAAAAAAAAAAAAAAAUCACUGUUUUUUACUAAACUUUUCCAGAAUUAAGGAUUGUAAAUAUUGUAGAUUCUUUUUCUGUGUAAUGUGUCCUACUGGUUCAUAAUGCUGUAACUUGUAGACAUAAUGUAUAUUUAUUUCCUGCUUAUUUAAUGUCUUAAAUUCUGUAAAGUGUUGACCUCUGACACGCCUCCCCUCCCCCCAUCCUGUUAUUUUCUUUAACUCUGAGGUGGCGGCUGGUCAGCUCACUGCCAGACACAUGGUCUUCCUAGGGUGGCCUGCAGCUUUGGUUCCUGGCAUAUCUGGUCAAUGGGUUUACAUUCUUGGUGUUGGCUGUCCUUUGAUAAAGCUCAUGUUUAGACACCAAUGAGAGACCAUAAAUCGGGCAGGCUUCAAAACUCUGGGAAACACCCAGUGACUUUCUAUUGGUUCCAAAACAGCUAGCUUCUCAUGGAAGCAGAUUCUAUUAGCUCCAGGAUUUGUCUUGAAAAAAUAAAAAGUGUUAUCAGGUAGUUGGGAUGGAUUUAAAAUUUAUACCUGACAGCUCAGUAUUCAGAGGGCAGGGGACAGGUAGGAGGGUUCCUGCUUCCAGAGCGAUUGGAGGACCUGCUCGUGCCACUCACCCCCUGUUGGCAACUGGCGAGCUGCACCACCUCCACCCUUCCAGGUGUGGCCCGAAUUGUCCUCAGGAGCUAAUUGUACAGGCCCCUGGCCCCGAACUUUGGUCCCUCAUUGGGUCAGCCUGCUUCUUCAGGUUGAUGUCCUGCUUCGGGAGAGGUUGGUGGUCCCCUGGGAUGGGUGUUAAGAUGUGGGAGCUUUAGAGAGGCUUCUUCCUGGUUUGGUGUAGAUGGUCUGUCACCCCUGCUGACUUAGCCUGGUGCCUGCGUGUGUUCACUGUGCACGUGCGUGUGUGCGGGGAUGUGUUCACACAUGAGGCUAAACCAGCUGGGGUGGCUUCUACUCCAAACCGUGCGACGUGCAAGAGCAUCUUCAAGCUCCCAGCGAAGUAACUUGACUACUUGUAGUGGGCAGUUCCAGACUUGAGAAGCUCUCCGAGUCCUAUGUCCAGGUCCCGUGACCACUCGUCACUGUCGGAACUCAUCAGGUACUCCUGUACAAGAGCACUGAUCUGUGUGGAUACUGAUUCAUCACUAAUGUGUUUCUAGGACCCAGCGUAUGUAGCGUUCGUAUUGCAAUUUCCCUGGCUUACUUUGGUUUGCACUGAUGAAUUUUGACAGGGUAAUUGCCACUUUAUUGUGCAAUACUGCUGUAAAUAGUUGCAGAUUUUUUUUUUUUAAGAAACUCAAUCUUUUUAUGUUCUUACUGAAUUUUAUAUAAAUAAAACUUUUCGACUGGU
Molecule: RNA transcript, 5372 nt
Organism: Pipistrellus kuhlii (Kuhl's pipistrelle)
Lineage: Eukaryota; Metazoa; Chordata; Mammalia; Chiroptera; Vespertilionidae
Gene: BCL2L11
Gene name: BCL2 like 11
Exons: 6
Source: RefSeq, a predicted model, not a curated record